GCUCUUCUAGUAUACUUAUUACAAUUGACUUCCAAUCUCUAAAAUCUGGUACUACCCCAGAGAAGAGCA
Molecule: transfer RNA, 69 nt
Filed under: Eurypyga helias (sunbittern)
Lineage: Eukaryota; Metazoa; Chordata; Aves; Eurypygiformes; Eurypygidae
Description: tRNA-Gly
Source: RNAcentral